Molecule: ribosomal RNA, 258 nt
Filed under: uncultured bacterium
Lineage: Bacteria
Description: partial 16S ribosomal RNA
Rfam family: Bacterial small subunit ribosomal RNA
Source: RNAcentral
CGAACGGGUGAGUAACGCGUGAGGAACCUGCCUCAAANAGGGGGACAACAGUUGGAAACGACUGCUAAUACCGCAUAAGCCCACGGGUCGGCAUCGACCAGAGGGAAAAGGAGCAAUCCGCUUUGAGAUGGCCUCGCGUCCGAUUAGCUAGUUGGUGAGGUAAUGGCCCACCAAGGCGACGAUCGGUAGCCGGACUGAGAGGUUGAACGGCCACAUUGGGACUGAGACACGGCCCAGACUCCUACGGGAGGCAGCAUG